UUAAUUCAUUUGAGUUUCGAG
Molecule: non-coding RNA, 21 nt
Organism: Caenorhabditis elegans
Lineage: Eukaryota; Metazoa; Nematoda; Chromadorea; Rhabditida; Rhabditidae
Source: Ensembl